GUGGGGAAUUUUGGACAAUGGGCGCAAGCCUGAUCCAGCCAUUCCGCGUGCAGGAUGAAGGCCUUCGGGUUGUAAACUGCUUUUGUACGGAACGAAAAGGUUCUCUCUAAUACAGGGGGCUGAUGACGGUACCGUAAGAAUAAGCACCGGCUAACUACGUGCCAGCAGCCGCGGUAAUACGUAGGGUGCAAGCGUUAAUCGGAAUUACUGGGCGUAAAGCGUGCGCAGGCGGUGAUGUAAGACAGAUGUGAAAUCCCCGGGCUCAACCUGGGAACUGCAGUUGUGACUGCAUUGCUGGAGUGCGGCAGAGGGGGAUGGAAUUCCGCGUGUAGCAGUGAAAUGCGUAGAUAUGCGGAGGAACACCGAUGGCGAAGGCAAUCCCCUGGGCCUGCACUGACGCUCAUGCACGAAAGCGUGGGGAGCAAACAGGAUUAGAUACCCUGGUAGUCC
Molecule: ribosomal RNA, 450 nt
Filed under: uncultured bacterium
Lineage: Bacteria
Description: partial 16S ribosomal RNA
Rfam family: Bacterial small subunit ribosomal RNA
Source: RNAcentral